This 1647-nucleotide long non-coding RNA is filed under the name Triticum aestivum (bread wheat). RNAcentral's name for it is "long non-coding RNA (TAES_LNC016903)". The record is from RNAcentral. Lineage: Eukaryota; Viridiplantae; Streptophyta; Magnoliopsida; Poales; Poaceae.
UACCUUUUACCUAAUGAAAUAUUUCUAAAGCCAUAGUAGAUGUCAGGUGUAAAUUCCAUGAAGAACUGUUGGUUUUUGUAAUUAUUUCGUGAAACUUUCAUUGUAGGGUUCUAGGUUUGGUGAAUAAGCAGGGUUGUCUUCUUUCUUUAGUAUCUGCAUGAUCAAGUCGGUCUGUACUUUUAAUGAUCAUACCUGCACAUGUCACAUUAAGAUUGAAUAUAUUGUGACUUUUCUAACCAUUUCUUGUUAAUUGCUUGAGGAAAAACUAACAGGAAUUUUUUUCUUAGAAAUCCCAAGGAAGUAAUUGUUCUCACUGUUUUGGUAAAAUAACAUAUAUUUUUGUUGUAUGUAUACUUAAUUUCAGGAGAUGUAGAUUUUCUUGUUAUCUUAUAUAUGUUCCUUUUCUUUUUUUUUUCUUGUGAAAAAUGAGUUCAACAAGGGCUCCUCAUUCUAGCCUCCUGGGGUUGAAAUGAUUACUCCUUUAAUUGAUUUGAAGAUUGUUAAUUUUUUAUAUUUGGAAACGCUUGGAAGCUUUCCUUUGUUUUGGCGUUAUGAAGAUCUUAUGCUGCAGGGAGAUUUCACCGAUGCCACAAAGAUGCUGCUGCAUCGAACGCAUAGGAUAAGAUGAUAUUAGUAAGUAUCUAUCAUCUACAUUUUGCUUUUGUCUUCAAUUUUGUAGGAUUUCUUUUCUUUCAACAACGUUUUAGAAAUAUAAAUACUUUCUUAUAUGUUUAUCCAGCCAUCCACAUUUAACUAGGUUGCAAAGAACAUUGAAGUGAUAACUGCAUGUGUAAGUACCAUGGAUGAGCUAGCAAAACAUACAUUUUUAUGCUAGAGUGCAUAUGGAUUAGGUAUGUGUAUUUGUUGGCAAUGUUCAUGUGUGAGAAAGCAAGGUCCAUAAGAUAUCUAGGGGAUUAGAGGUGGUAUGAUUUAAAGAUAAAGCAUCGUCUUGAGUGCUUUUUUUCAUGUGGUUGCUGCAUGGGCUUCAAAUAAUUUACUUGGGACUUCAUUCAGAAGUACAACUGGUAAUCCGAGAUCAAUACUGAGAUCAGACAUCAGAUACAAUAUAAUUUUUUUUGUACAAACAAAAUCUAUGAUAUCGUGCCAUUCUAUGAGUGUUUAGAAAUAAGUUUGGUAUCUGCUACAAUGUACAUAUAACUUGGUCAUCCUAAAGAAACUUUAUCUUGCAUAUUGCUUGGUUACAAGAUAAGAACUAAUAUGUAUUACAAAUAUCUAGGGAAAUCUUUUGAUUUUUUUGUACAUAUAUUAUCAGAGAUGCCAAAUAGCAGGUUGCUUCAAACCAGGGGAACUGACUGGUUCAUAGAUGGUAGAACGUUCAAUCUUCGACGAUGCUCAGGGAGCAAACAAGGGGAAUUAGGUUAGUACGUCUUUAAAAUAGCACCCAAGGGUGCACUCAAUAAUUCCAGUUUUUCAACUUGUACUGUUAUUGUUGAUACACAUUGUUUUGUGCAUACUUGCUAGGGAAAAGUAUAUUUUUCAUCCCUGGACUCGCUCAAAAGUAUAGAAAUGAUCCUUCAACUUUAAAACCGGCAAAUGUUAGUCCCUCAACUUCUCAAACCGGAUUAUUUUAGUCCCUUGACUCAACAAAGCUGUUUUCAUGCUUACUUGGCAUGGUUUUGACCAGUC